This is a small nuclear RNA of Rana temporaria (common frog), 133 nucleotides long. RefSeq annotates it as U4atac minor spliceosomal RNA. The transcript has a single exon. The record is from RefSeq and is a predicted model, not a curated record. Lineage: Eukaryota; Metazoa; Chordata; Amphibia; Anura; Ranidae.
UCCAUCCUUCUCUUGGGGUUGAGCUGCUGACCAAUGAAUGGUUAAUGAGGUCAGUACUGCUAACACCACAAACAACACUGAAGCAUCCCUAAUAUAUAAAUAUGUAUAUUAGUAAGGUGCAAUUUUUGGACCC